RNAcentral lists this transfer RNA (64 nucleotides) under Notidobia ciliaris. RNAcentral's name for it is "tRNA-Ala". The record is from RNAcentral. Lineage: Eukaryota; Metazoa; Arthropoda; Insecta; Trichoptera; Sericostomatidae.
AGGAUUUUAGUUUAAAUAAAAACACUUGAAUUGCAAUCAAAAAAAAUAAUUAUUAUAAAUCUUA